This 406-nucleotide ribosomal RNA is filed under the name uncultured bacterium. RNAcentral describes it as "partial 16S ribosomal RNA". It matches the Rfam family "Bacterial small subunit ribosomal RNA", at positions 29 to 526 of the family's 1533-position model. The record is from RNAcentral.
AUUGAACGCUGGCGGCAGGCUUAACACAUGCAAGUCGAGCGAGCGGCGGACGGGUGAGUAAUGUCUGGGAAACUGCCUGAUGGAGGGGGAUAACUACUGGAAACGGUAGCUAAUACCGCAUACCAUCAGAUGUGCCCAGAUUGGAUUAGCUAGUAGGUGGUGUAAGGGCUCACCUGGGCGACGAGCCCUAGCUGGUCUGCGAGGAGGACCAGCCGCACUGGAACUGAGACACGGGCCAGACUCCUACGGGAGGCAGCAGUGGGGAAUAUUGCACAAUGGGCGCAAGCCUGAUGCAGCCAUGCCGCGGGUGUGAAGAAGGCCUUCGGGUUGUAAAGCACUGUCAGCGAGGAGGCGUUACUCGCAGAAGAAGCACCGGCUAACUCCGUGCCAGCAGCCGCGGUAAUAC